UACGAAGGGGGCUAGCGUUGCUCGGAAUCACUGGGCGUAAAGGGUGCGUAGGCGGGUCUUUAAGUCAGGGGUGAAAUCCUGGAGCUCAACUCCAGAACUGCCUUUGAUACUGAGGAUCUUGAGUUCGGGAGAGGUGAGUGGAACUGCGAGUGUAGAGGUGAAAUUCGUAGAUAUUCGCAAGAACACCAGUGGCGAAGGCGGCUCACUGGCCCGAUACUGACGCUGAGGCACGAAAGCGUGGGGGAGCGAACAGG
Molecule: ribosomal RNA, 254 nt
Filed under: uncultured bacterium
Lineage: Bacteria
Description: partial 16S ribosomal RNA
Rfam family: Bacterial small subunit ribosomal RNA
Source: RNAcentral